Papaver somniferum (opium poppy) is the source of this 682-nucleotide long non-coding RNA. RefSeq lists it as uncharacterized. The record is from RefSeq and is a predicted model, not a curated record. Lineage: Eukaryota; Viridiplantae; Streptophyta; Magnoliopsida; Ranunculales; Papaveraceae. The transcript has 4 exons.
UCCAAUUCAGAGGCUCUGCUCCAGACAUUAUCUGGUCUUAACUUCUAUACUACCCAUACCCUUUUAAAUUCAACAUGAAUAUGAAAAAUCAUAUUGAUUUCUGUUUGUGGUGAAGCGGAAAGGUAGAUCCUCCGAGGCGGAAGCCGAGUUUGAGAAGUCAGACAGAGGACAUGAGCCAGACAUUGUAAAGUUUUCUGAAUUAUUUUAUGGGCGCCAUUUCAGAGUUGUUCUUAUUGGAUCAGCUCUAUAUGCGUUUCAACAACUCUCAGGAAUUUCUAUUCUUCUUCAACCGUCCUUAAAAGUGUGGGGGUUCCAUCAGACGAGGGAAACAUCUGCAUAGGAGUUGAGAAUUUAUCUGCAAUGACUUUGAUGGAUAAACUAGGACGGAUGCUUCUUCUUCUUGGGAGUUCUUUUGGCAUGGCAGUAGCAAUGUGCAUUCAGGCCUGUGCGUCAAGUUUUAGCGCGUCUGGAGCCUCACCGUACUUAUCUGUUGGCGAGAUGUUACUUUAAGUAACUUGGAAACCACAAUGUUAAAUUUGUGGCCGUAACUCAAAGUAACUGUUUUAUUAGAUAUACUCAUCUGAUUAUUAUAGCUAGUGGUAACACUACUACUUCUCAUGUAUGUCGAAGGUUAUAAUGAUAUUGACUGUCAAAAUGGAAUCGUUGGAAUUUUUCUAAUCAA